RNAcentral lists this ribosomal RNA (838 nucleotides) under Arthrobacter sp. KU001. Its description in RNAcentral is "bacterial SSU rRNA". It matches the Rfam family "Bacterial small subunit ribosomal RNA", at positions 628 to 1459 of the family's 1533-position model. The record is from RNAcentral. Lineage: Bacteria; Bacillati; Actinomycetota; Actinomycetes; Micrococcales; Micrococcaceae.
GGGUACGGGCAGACUAGAGUGCAGUAGGGGAGACUGGAAUUCCUGGUGUAGCGGUGAAAUGCGCAGAUAUCAGGAGGAACACCGAUGGCGAAGGCAGGUCUUUGGGCUGUAACUGACGCUGAGGAGCGAAAGCAUGGGGAGCGAACAGGAUUAGAUACCCUGGUAGUCCAUGCCGUAAACGUUGGGCACUAGGUGUGGGGGACAUUCCACGUUUUCCGCGCCGUAGCUAACGCAUUAAGUGCCCCGCCUGGGGAGUACGGCCGCAAGGCUAAAACUCAAAGGAAUUGACGGGGGCCCGCACAAGCGGCGGAGCAUGCGGAUUAAUUCGAUGCAACGCGAAGAACCUUACCAAGGCUUGACAUGGACCGGAAAGACCUGGAAACAGGUGCCCCGCUUGCGGCCGGUUUACAGGUGGUGCAUGGUUGUCGUCAGCUCGUGUCGUGAGAUGUUGGGUUAAGUCCCGCAACGAGCGCAACCCUCGUUCUAUGUUGCCAGCGGUUCGGCCGGGGACUCAUAGGAGACUGCCGGGGUCAACUCGGAGGAAGGUGGGGACGACGUCAAAUCAUCAUGCCCCUUAUGUCUUGGGCUUCACGCAUGCUACAAUGGCCGGUACAAAGGGUUGCGAUACUGUGAGGUGGAGCUAAUCCCAAAAAGCCGGUCUCAGUUCGGAUUGGGGUCUGCAACUCGACCCCAUGAAGUCGGAGUCGCUAGUAAUCGCAGAUCAGCAACGCUGCGGUGAAUACGUUCCCGGGCCUUGUACACACCGCCCGUCAAGUCACGAAAGUUGGUAACACCCGAAGCCGGUGGCCUAACCCUGUGGACUUUGAGGCGUCGCUGA